Non-coding RNA from Acanthosepion pharaonis, 112 nucleotides. The record is from the annotation of a GenBank genome assembly. Lineage: Eukaryota; Metazoa; Mollusca; Cephalopoda; Sepiida; Sepiidae.
UACGGCCACAUUGCGUUAAAGUACCAGUUCCCGUACGAUCACCGAAGUUAAGCAAUGUCGAGUUCGAACAUUAAUUAGAUCGGUGACCGCUUGGGAAUACCAGGUGCUGUAA